UCCCUCACGCGACCUUCCCCUUGCGCCGACUGAGCCCUAACCGCACGGCGGUUUCCUCCACCUUCUCCUUCAUUUUCUUCCUCCCGAGCCGCACACCCGAAGCUUUCUCCUCUUCUCCUCUCCUCUGCCGCCACCACAGCGACGCCGUGCCCUAAUUGGGUUGUGCCGCCGCCGAGAUUGCUUCGCCGCCACCGACCUAGUGCAGCCGCCGGCGACGCACGGAGCAGUGCCUCACACCCUGGUGCCCUAGCAUCUCCGCCGACGCCACUGACUCCUCUCGGCUGCUUCUCUGUGCCGGCCACCGUUUUCCUCUGCCGGCGCCGAUCCUCACCCUUGUGCCCUAGCCGACACCUCUCUGAUUCUCACUGUGCCCUAGGUUCUUCGCCGACACGGUUCUGCUCGGGUUGUUUCCGGCCUGGAGCAAGGAGGAUUUAAGUUAUAGCUUUUCCCUCUCUGCCACAUCUCGGCAUAGCGCCGCCGACCGCACCAGUACAUCUUCACUGUCGCCGGCCAUCAGGUACAGCCGAGCCUUAGUUGGUUUUGGAGUUGGUGGAUUUCUUCUCUCUGUGUUGCUGCUGUGCCCUAGUUCACCACUACAGGUGCCGCUCUGUUCUUUACAGCAGAGUGGUGAUCUUAGAGGUAAGGGGAAUAGGGAGGACUUGCUGUGGUUUUCUUGGUUACGGCAGAAAUUCCAACUAGUAGCACUCUUGUUCCAGCAAUCAACAGGGCUGUGACUUCAAGGACUUUGACGCGAGACGAGUAUCUCAGAGUCAGAUUUGGAUCAUUUUAUCGGAGGCGG
Molecule: long non-coding RNA, 799 nt
Organism: Zingiber officinale
Lineage: Eukaryota; Viridiplantae; Streptophyta; Magnoliopsida; Zingiberales; Zingiberaceae
Exons: 3
Source: RefSeq, a predicted model, not a curated record